RNAcentral lists this ribosomal RNA (447 nucleotides) under uncultured bacterium. RNAcentral describes it as "bacterial SSU rRNA". It matches the Rfam family "Bacterial small subunit ribosomal RNA", at positions 355 to 825 of the family's 1533-position model. The record is from RNAcentral.
UGGGGAAUAUUGGACAAUGGGCGAAAGCCUGAUCCAGCCAUGCCGCGUGAGUGACGAAGGCCUUAGGGUUGUAAAACUCUUUCGUCGGGGACGAUAAUGACGGUACCCGAAGAAGAAGCUCCGGCUAACUUCGUGCCAGCAGCCGCGGUAAUACGAAGGGAGCUAGCGUUGUUCGGAAUCACUGGGCGUAAAGCGCACGUAGGCGGAUAGUUAAGUCAGGGGUGAAAUCCUGGGGCUCAACCCCAGAACUGCCUUUGAUACUACUAAUCUCGAGUCCGAUAGAGGUGAGUGGAAUUCCUAGUGUAGAGGUGAAAUUCGUAGAUAUUAGGAAGAACACCAGUGGCGAAGGCGGCUCACUGGAUCGGUACUGACGCUGAGGUGCGAAAGCGUGGGGAGCAAACAGGAUUAGAUACCCACGUAGUCCCUGAGCGGGCUGGCAAGGCGCAU